This 345-nucleotide ribosomal RNA is filed under the name Staphylococcus aureus. Its description in RNAcentral is "bacterial SSU rRNA". It matches the Rfam family "Bacterial small subunit ribosomal RNA", at positions 245 to 582 of the family's 1533-position model. The record is from RNAcentral. Lineage: Bacteria; Bacillati; Bacillota; Bacilli; Caryophanales; Staphylococcaceae.
CUAGUUGGUAAGGUAACGGCUUACCAAGGCAACGAUGCAUAGCCGACCUGAGAGGGUGAUCGGCCACACUGGAACUGAGACACGGUCCAGACUCCUACGGGAGGCAGCAGUAGGGAAUCUUCCGCAAUGGGCGAAAGCCUGACGGAGCAACGCCGCGUGAGUGAUGAAGGUCUUCGGAUCGUAAAACUCUGUUAUUAGGGAAGAACAUAUGUGUAAGUAACUGUGCACAUCUUGACGGUACCUAAUCAGAAAGCCACGGCUAACUACGUGCCAGCAGCCGCGGUAAUACGUAGGUGGCAAGCGUUAUCCGGAAUUAUUGGGCGUAAAGCGCGCGUAGGCGGUUUU